Molecule: ribosomal RNA, 773 nt
Filed under: Phyllosticta mimusopisicola
Lineage: Eukaryota; Fungi; Ascomycota; Dothideomycetes; Botryosphaeriales; Phyllostictaceae
Description: eukaryotic LSU rRNA
Rfam family: Eukaryotic large subunit ribosomal RNA
Source: RNAcentral
UGAAGCGGCAAUAGCUCAAAUUUGAAAGCUGGCGUCUUCGGCGUCCGCGUUGUAAUUUGUAGAGGAUGCUUCGGCAAGGGCUCCUGCCUAAGUCCCCUGGAACGGGGCGUCACAGAGGGUGAGAAUCCCGUACGUGGCGGGCGGCCCGAGCCAUGUGAAGCUCCUUCGACGAGUCGAGUUGUUUGGGAAUGCAGCUCUAAAUGGGAGGUAAAUUUCUUCUAAAGCUAAAUACUGGCCAGAGACCGAUAGCGCACAAGUAGAGUGAUCGAAAGAUGAAAAGCACUUUGGAAAGAGAGUUAAAAAGUACGUGAAAUUGUUGAAAGGGAAGCGCUUGCAACCAGACUCGCCCGCAGUUGCUCAGCCGGCCUCUUGGCCGGCGUACUCUUCUGCGGUCGGGCCAGCAUCAGUUUGGGCGGCCGGAUAAAGGUGUCGGGAAUGUAGCACCCUUCGGGGUGUGUUAUAGCCCGGCGCGGAAUGCGGCCAGCCCGGACUGAGGAUCUCGCUUCGGCAAGGAUGCUGGCGUAAUGGUUGUAAGCGGCCCGUCUUGAAACACGGACCAAGGAGUCUAACAUCUAUGCGAGUGUUUGGGUGUCAAACCCAUGCGCGUAAUGAAAGUGAACGGAGGUGGGAACCCCUCACGGGGUGCACCAUCGACCGAUCCUGAUGUCUUCGGAUGGAUUUGAGUAAGAGCAUAGCUGUUGGGACCCGAAAGAUGGUGAACUAUGCCUGAAUAGGGUGAAGCCAGAGGAAACUCUGGUGGAGGCUCGCAGCGG